Molecule: long non-coding RNA, 250 nt
Organism: Monopterus albus (swamp eel)
Lineage: Eukaryota; Metazoa; Chordata; Actinopteri; Synbranchiformes; Synbranchidae
Exons: 2
Source: RefSeq, a predicted model, not a curated record
CCUGCAGGCUGACUCCUUUGCAGACCGAGCUCUAUAAGUGCUUCCUGAGGCAAGCCAAACCCAUUGAGAAAUUACAAGAGAGCAAAAUAAGUGUCUCCUCUCUGUCUUCCAUUACAUCACUCAAGAAACUGUGCAAUCACCCAGCGCUCAUCUAUGAGAAGUGUGUGGAAGGUGAGGAGGGCUUUAAGGGAACUCUGGAUCUGUUCCCAUCCGGAUACAGCACUAAAACUGUGGAGCCUCAGCUCUCAGG